Molecule: RNA transcript, 1886 nt
Organism: Populus nigra (black poplar)
Lineage: Eukaryota; Viridiplantae; Streptophyta; Magnoliopsida; Malpighiales; Salicaceae
Gene name: patatin-like protein 2
Exons: 9
Source: RefSeq, a predicted model, not a curated record
GCUAUAAAAAGGGAGCCUUCGAUCCUAGUUCGAGAGUGGUAGUUGAGCAAACAUAGUCACAAGCCGAAAGGUUCUAAUACUUCGGCUUUCACAAAAUGGGGAAUGGAAGUUCUCGUGAACCAGAGAAUCAGGGAGACUUCAUCACAAUCCUUAGUAUUGAUGGUGGAGGAGUGAGAGGUAUCAUUCCUAGUGAAGUUCUAAGUGUUCUUGAAGCGAAGCUCCAGAAACUGGAUGUGGACAACAAGGAUGCAAGGAUUGCAGAUUAUUUUGACUUCAUUGCUGGGACAAGCACAGGAGGCCUCAUGACAGCUAUGCUUACGGCCCCAAAUGAUGAAAAACGACCUCUGUUUGCUGCAAAAGAUAUUGCCAAGUUUUAUCAAGACAAGAGUCCAAAUAUCUUUCUCAAAACACCUGAAACAAACCAACCUCCGUCCACUGAAGAGGAUUCCAGAAUCUCUGAUCCUGAUGAAGCGACGGAAGAACCUUUGACAACGUCCGCCGAAGUCAUUAAUACUCCAGCUACUUUUUUGCGGGGUAUUAUUGAUAUUAUCGUAGACCUCAGUCCUGAGGCGAAGGAUUAUGUAGAACCUCUUAAUACAUAUUUACUACAACCAAAAUAUGACGGUAAGAAUCUGCAAGAUACGAUUAAGGGACUUUUGGGAGAGAAACUAGCUCUCAGUGAGACUCUAACGAAUGUGAUAAUCCCCGCCUUCGACAUCAAGCAUUUUGGGCCUACCAUCUUUUCUACCUUAAAGGCCAAGCGUGACAGGUCAAUGGAUGCUCCACUAGCAGACGUUUGUAGGGCCACCUCUGCAGCACCGUAUUACUUUCCCCCUUAUCAUUUUAAAACCAGCAAGCCCUUCAACCUAGUUGAUGGCGGUGUUGCAGCCAAUAAUCCUUCUUUCCUAGCUGUGUGUGAGGCGAUGAAAGAACAAAAGACAGAUUUUCACAAAUUUGUUGUUCUUUCCCUUGGAACUGGAGCACCAGAUGCAAGUGGCAGGCUAGAGGUUAGAGACGGAAAAUGGGGAAUUGUUGAUUGGCUUUGGCAGGAUGACAAUUCCAACCCGUUGCUGGAUAUCUUGACGACUGCACCAGAUGAAAUGACUGAGAUGUACAUGUCUACCGUCUUUCAAUACAGUGGAUUAGAACACAACUAUACUCGGAUCCAGGUUGAGCUAAAACCCAGUGAAGGCAUGAUGGACAAUACAAGCAAAGAAAAUCUGGAGAGACUCAAGAAGAUCGGUCAGGAUUUAGCAGAACAAAAUGAUGCCAAACUUGAAGCUUUUGCAAGCCGAUUGGUCGAGAUACGGAAAGCUCGCUUAACCCACAUAUCUGCUUGACAAUUCAUAAAGUAGAACGUUGCUAAUGUCCAAGGCAACGUUGUCCAAGUUACCUGCCCGUAUGAUUAGUACUGUUUCAAAUUUGCCUGUGACUUUAGUGCUGGAGUCACUGUUAGCACUAGUUCAAGUCAGGCUUCGUUGUGAGGAACAACUUCUCCAAUGGAAGAAUCAGUGACAACAGCAACAAUGAUAGUGGAAGGAGAAAAAUAAUCACCAUUCAAUACAAAGGAGGAGAGUGAAGACGGCACCAGUGUAGAAGCUAUGGGUUGGGAAGAAAUUAGAAUUGGAUUUACAGUAGUAGAAGGGGCAACAUGACUUGCAGUGAUUGCGUCCAUUAAAGAGAAAGAAAAGAUAUAAUUUUAAUGCUGAGGAUUCUCAUACCAAGUUAAAAAUAAUAGAAGAUUUAAACUUAUUAGUCCGUCAAUUUUUUUUAUUUAUAUAUAUAGGGAAGUAUAUAAUAGUUGAUGUAGAAAUUAUAAGACAAAACUCAAUCUAUACACAUUGUAAAUAUAAUUACUAUAAUAUAUAAAUUAGCACUUUCUAUAA